AGAGUUUGAUCCUGGCUCAGGACGAACGCUGGCGGCACGCUUAACACAUGCAAGUCGAACGAGAGAAGAGGAGCUUGCUUUUCUGAUCUAGUGGCGGACGGGUGAGUAACACGUGAGCAAUCUGCCUUUCAGAGGGGGAUACCGAUUGGAAACGAUCGUUAAUACCGCAUAACAUAAUUGAACCGCAUGAUUUGAUUAUCAAAGAUUUAUCGCUGAAAGAUGAGCUCGCGUCUGAUUAGCUAGUUGGUAAGGUAACGGCUUACCAAGGCGACGAUCAGUAGCCGGACUGAGAGGUUGAUCGGCCACAUUGGGACUGAGACACGGCCCAGACUCCUACGGGAGGCAGCAGUGGGGAAUAUUGCACAAUGGAGGAAACUCUGAUGCAGCGAUGCCGCGUGAGGGAAGAAGGUUUUAGGAUUGUAAACCUCUGUCUUCAGGGACGAAAAAAGACGGUACCUGAGGAGGAAGCUCCGGCUAACUACGUGCCAGCAGCCGCGGUAAUACGUAGGGAGCGAGCGUUGUCCGGAAUUACUGGGUGUAAAGGGAGCGUAGGCGGGAUCGCAAGUCAGAUGUGAAAACUAUGGGCUUAACCCAUAAACUGCAUUUGAAACUGUGGUUCUUGAGUGAAGUAGAGGUAAGCGGAAUUCCUAGUGUAGCGGUGAAAUGCGUAGAUACUAGGAGGAACAUCAGUGGCGAAGGCGGCUUACUGGGCUUUAACUGACGCUGAGGCUCGAAAGCGUGGGGAGCAAACAGGAUUAGAUACCCUGGUAGUCCACGCCGUAAACGAUGAUUACUAGGUGUGGGGGGACUGACCCCUUCCGUGCCGCAGCAAACGCAAUAAGUAAUCCACCUGGGGAGUACGACCGCAAGGUUGAAACUCAAAGGAAUUGACGGGGGCCCGCACAAGCAGUGGAGUAUGUGGAUUAAUUCGAAGCAACGCGAAGAACCUUACCAGGUCUUGACAUCGUAUGCAUAGCUCAGAGAUGAGUGAAAUCUCUUCGGAGACAUAUAGACAGGUGGUGCAUGGUUGUCGUCAGCUCGUGUCGUGAGAUGUUGGGUUAAGUCCCGCAACGAGCGCAACCCUUACUGUUAGUUGCUACGCAAGAGCACUCUAGCAGGACUGCCGUUGACAAAACGGAGGAAGGUGGGGAUGACGUCAAAUCAUCAUGCCCCUUAUGACCUGGGCCUCACACGUACUACAAUGGCUGUCAACAGAGGGAAGCAAAGCCGCGAGGUGGAGCGAACCCCUAAAAGCAGUCUUAGUUUCGGAUUGUAGGCUGCAACCCGCCUACAUGAAGUCGGAAUUGCUAGUAAUCGCAGAUCAGCAUGCUGCGGUGAAUACGUUCCCGGGCCUUGUACACACCGCCCGUCACGCCAUGGGAGUCGGUAACACCCGAAGCCUGUAGUCUAACCGCAAGGAGGACGCAGUCGAAGGUGGGAUUGAUGACUGGGGUGAAGUCGUAACAAGGUA
Molecule: ribosomal RNA, 1471 nt
Filed under: metagenome
Description: bacterial SSU rRNA
Rfam family: Bacterial small subunit ribosomal RNA
Source: RNAcentral